GUGCUCGCUUCAGCAGCACAAAUACUAAAACUGGAAUGAUACAGAGAUUAGCAUGGCCCCUGUGCAAGGAUGACAUGCAAAUUCAUGAAGCAUUCCAGAUAAAU
This is a small nuclear RNA of Erinaceus europaeus (western European hedgehog), 104 nucleotides long. Lineage: Eukaryota; Metazoa; Chordata; Mammalia; Eulipotyphla; Erinaceidae. The record is from Ensembl.